UAAAUUUAAAAUUUAAAAUUUAAGUUUAAAUUUAAAUUUUGAAAAUUGAAAAUUAAAAAUUAAAAAUUAAAUUAAAAUUUGAAAUUUGAAAUUUAAAAUUUGAAAUUUGAAAUUUUUGAAAUUUGAAAUUUGAAAUUUGAACUUUUUGAAAUUUGAAAUUUGAAAUUUGAAUUUUGAAAUUUGAAAUUUGAAAGUUGAAAUUUGAAAUUUGAAAGUUGAAAUUUGAAAGUUGAAAUUUGAAAUUUGAAGUUUGAAAUUUGAAAUUUGAAAUUUGAAAUUUGAACUUUUUGAAAUUUAAAAUUUUAAAUUUGAAAUUUGAAAUUUAAAAUCAAAAUUUAAAUUGAAUUUUAAAAUUUUAAAUUUUGAAAUUUAAAAUUUUAUGUUGAAAUUUAAAAUUUAGAAAUUGAUAUAUUUUUUGAAGCCCAAAAUGGUAGAAUUUUUUUCCUUUGGUUAAAGUAGAUUGUAAGUUUACUCUAUUUUUUAAAGUAUAGUAUAACUAUACUUCAAAAAUUACGUUAUUUUUUUUUUCGUCCAAACGCUUCAUAGGAUUAUUUUCCUACCGGCAUUGCAUAGUUUAACUAUGCUACGUUUUUAGAGGUACCCAAACGGGGCCUAAUACCCCACUAAGUUUGUGACAAAAGCUUUGGCCUUUUCCUCUUUUCUCUCUCUCUCUCUCUUUCUUUAUGUAUACCAGCUUUGUACUGGAAUGUCCUUUGCCAUUGUUCAAAACGAAGAAAACCGCCACAUGGACUCUCUCACGCUCCCCGCUCCCUCUUUAUCUCCUGAAUUUUUUUACAAACAAUCCUCUACAAUUUGAUAAUUUACAAAAUAACCUCCCUCUUUAUCUCCUGAACUUUUUUACAAAAUAAUUCUUUAAAAUUUGAUAAUUUACAACAACAAUCGUGUCCAAAUUAUAUUUGAAAAACUAACCUUCUUAUGAAGAUUUUCUUUGAAGACGGUAAACCAUUUACCGUCUUCCUAAUUUUCCACAAAGACUUCGCUUAUUUAUUAUUUCUUUCUAUAUCAUAUAUAUAAAAUUCUAACUAUCACGUAAAUAUUUUAACAAAUCACGUAUAAUCUUAACAACCUGAAAAUCCUAAUAAUUUAUCCAUAUAAUUUUAUAUAAUCUUAACAGCCUAAAAGUUCUAAUAGUAUAUCCAUAUAAUUUUAUAUAAUCUUAACAGCCUGAAAAUCCUAAUAAUCUAUUCAUACGAUCCUAACAAUCAAAAAAAAUUCUAAUAAUAUAUUCAUACAAUCCUGAUAAUCAAAUAAAAAUUCUAAUUAUCUAUAUAUAAUCCUAGCAACCUCACUUUUUUAUAUUUCCUAUAUAAUCCACGCACAAGUUUUAUUGGGAAUCCGGUACUCGCCCCAGUACCGGAUAUCGUGAAUCCGCAACCCGCUCCGAUACUGACUGCUGUGGAUCCGGUAUCGAUUGUUGGGAUUCCGCAACGGAAACUUCGAAUCGGGUUUUUACCAUAAACCCGUCUCUUCAGCAAAAACUGAUACAAUCAUAAAAGAAAAAAAAUAUGCAGGUAAAAUAAGAUUCAUUAAAUAAGAGAAGAUUACACCUGCCUCCUCUUCUGCACAGAGUAGCUACAACCCGAGCCCUCUUUCUUUAAUUUCUUCUACCCUUCUCUCGUCUUCUAUAAACCCAUAAAGAAGACAAUCAUUCACACACACCCGUGCACUAGGUGUACUCAAUAACUCUCUCUCUCUCUCUCUUUUUCUCUCUCUGGUACGGCACCUCCAAGCUCUCAACCGUACUACUCCCAAAAAAAGCACCAUCAAGAGCUAUUUAUAAUGCUCAACUUAAAACGUACCACAAUCCUAAUAUAUUUAGGAUUCAUACUCUAAUAUUUAAAUCUAUCUUAAUCAAUCUCUAAUAGAUUUAAAUAUUAAUCCUAAUCUAGUUAGAUUUAUCCUCUAAUUAAUAUUUAAAUCUUAAUUUAUCAUUUAAAUAUUAAUUUUUAUCCAAAUAGAAUUUAACUACAAAUCUAACCAAAUCUUAACAAUUUUAAUGAAUGUGGCGAACGAUUCACCGUCUUCAAAAAAAAUUGGAGAAUGCGGGGAAUGAUUCACCAUCUUUAAAAGACAUGGGAGGACACAGUGAACGAUUCACCGCUUUUCGAAAAAUAAUCUCAGAUGGAGAAAAGAGAGUUAAUAUAAAUUUUACAGGAUUAUUUCAUAAUUAUAAAAUUUUAGAGGGUUAUUUUAAAAAAAAAAAAUCCAUAUCUCCUCCCCCAUUGUCUUCUACUCUGCACACCCCCUCUUCUCCACCUCAUAGUUAUUAACUGCUUUUGGGCCUUUUCCUACCUUGGAUAGUUUCCACUUUCCAGUUACCAACUCUUUUAUUAGCAUGUUUAUGUAUGCAUAUUAUUAUACCACUGAGUGUCCUUAGGUCUCACUGUAAAGUGUAGUGCUGAUCCAGUAGUAGCUUAUUCAGAUCAUACGCAAUACAAAGUUACUGCUUUUAUCAUUUGUUUUUUAUAAAAUAAGAAAAAACUUCAAAUAUUACCUAUAUGAUUUCGCACUAUCUCACUUUAACAUCUGUAGUUUAAAUUGUAUCACUUCCGUACUCUGCGGUUUUAUUUUUCUCUUUUUGUUAUCUCCUCCGCUAAUUUUUUUUCGUUAAAUCAGCGACAAAGUUAAAACUAAAGUGUACUAAAGUGAAUAUUCGGUAAACUAUAAUUGGAUAUCUAAAAUUUUUUAUAUAUGAUUAACGGAGGAGCUCACGAAAAGAGAAAAAAGAAACCACGUAAUACUAAUUGAUAUAUUUUAAACUAUAGAAUAGUAAAGUGAAAAUAUAUGAAACCACAUGAAUGGUAUUUAGAAUUUACCCUAC
This 2842-nucleotide long non-coding RNA is filed under the name Ananas comosus (pineapple). RNAcentral describes it as "long non-coding RNA (ACOM_LNC007635)". The record is from RNAcentral. Lineage: Eukaryota; Viridiplantae; Streptophyta; Magnoliopsida; Poales; Bromeliaceae.